UCUUGGUCAUUUAGAGGAAGUAAAAGUCGUAACAAGGUUUCCGUAGGUGAAGUUAACGCACGUUUGCCUACGGAAGCUGAGCAGGUCGACUCUAAACAACUGCGCGAGUCUGCCCUUUGGUUAGGGCGGGCGACGCCGUCAACCUGGGCUGGAAGAUCCUUCGGGCGCAACCAGCAGCUCCUCGGAGUUCACAGAUCAAACGUCGGCGGCCACCUCCCCGUGGUUCAGAUAUGACCGGCCCCAGCUCUCAUCGGCUGGCGA
RNAcentral lists this ribosomal RNA (261 nucleotides) under Lecanora polytropa. RNAcentral describes it as "partial 18S ribosomal RNA". Lineage: Eukaryota; Fungi; Ascomycota; Lecanoromycetes; Lecanorales; Lecanoraceae. The record is from RNAcentral.